GACUAUACCUAUACUAUACCUAUACUAUACCGAUCUCAUCUGAUCUUGGAAGCAAAGCAAGGCCAGGCCUGGUUAGUAGUUGUAUGGGAGACCCUUGAGAAGACCAGGUGCUGCAGUGG
This 119-nucleotide ribosomal RNA is filed under the name Periophthalmus magnuspinnatus. The record is from RNAcentral. Lineage: Eukaryota; Metazoa; Chordata; Actinopteri; Gobiiformes; Gobiidae.